UAUGGCAAAACACGGAGAAUCCAAGGAUGAAUCAACGCCAGAGAAGAUCAUCAAUGCGACUCUUCUUCUUCUACUUCUGAUUCUGAAUUCGUGAGCUUUCAAACCUCUACUCACAGACGGCACACAAAUCCAACGUUUUUCUCAAAGCGUGGGUUUGUUCUGGCGGGUAAAGGAAGCAUUUCUCAACUGGAAUGUAUAGUUUGCCUUUGAAGAAAUUACAUGAAUUCUCAUGGAUCCUCAUAAAUCUGG
This is a long non-coding RNA of Beta vulgaris subsp. vulgaris (sugar beet), 249 nucleotides long. RefSeq lists it as uncharacterized. NCBI's taxonomy places the organism in Eukaryota, Viridiplantae, Streptophyta, Magnoliopsida, Caryophyllales, Amaranthaceae. The record is from RefSeq and is a predicted model, not a curated record. The transcript is spliced from 3 exons.